AUCCAGCUGAGGAGUCUCAAAUAGGAUGAAGUGACGCGCGUUCUGGAU
Non-coding RNA from Schistosoma haematobium, 48 nucleotides. NCBI's taxonomy places the organism in Eukaryota, Metazoa, Platyhelminthes, Trematoda, Strigeidida, Schistosomatidae. The record is from Rfam.